RNAcentral lists this signal recognition particle RNA (266 nucleotides) under Clostridiales bacterium. RNAcentral's name for it is "signal recognition particle sRNA large type". It matches the Rfam family "Bacterial large signal recognition particle RNA". Rfam says of the family: The signal recognition particle (SRP) is a universally conserved ribonucleoprotein involved in the co-translational targeting of proteins to membranes. Archaeal SRP consists of a 7S RNA and homologues of the eukaryotic SRP19 and SRP54 proteins. The record is from RNAcentral. Lineage: Bacteria; Bacillati; Bacillota; Clostridia; Eubacteriales.
CUGUGCUAAGUGGGGAGCUAGCGGUGCCCUGUGACCCGCAAUCCGCUAUAGCGGGACCGAAUGCCCUUAGCGGCGGUUGUGUGGAAAGUCUGACUUUGAUAAGGAAUGUUGAUAUCAAGGUCCCAUCCAAUGUAAAUCUGUGAACCAUGUCAGGACCGUGAGGGAGCAGCAUUAAGCAGACCAUUAUAUGUGCCAUGGGGAAGCUUUGAAGGAGUCACCUGUCAACAGUACCGUUUCGGCAGGACUGGUCAAUAAGGGAUGCACAG